CUUAUAGACCUUCCUGGAGGAGCUUGCUAUUUUAACCGAUAAUCCACGUAAUACCUCACCAACUUUUGAACCUACAGCCUGUAUACCAUCGUCGUCAGUCUACUCCACAAGGAAAGUAUACAAAAGGAACAAAUGUUCACAACGCCAGAUCGAGGUGCAGCUUAUAAGUUGGGAAUCAGUGGGCUACAAUAUUCUUACAAUAGAAAUAAUAUUAUGGAAGGAUAAAUGAACACUUUAUCCCUAAAUAGGAUUCAGAAGUAACGAUUAAAAGAUAAUAAUCGUGAACUUUAAGCUCUAUAAUUCGC
RNAcentral lists this ribosomal RNA (305 nucleotides) under Cosmasterias dyscrita. RNAcentral describes it as "partial 12S ribosomal RNA". The record is from RNAcentral. Lineage: Eukaryota; Metazoa; Echinodermata; Asteroidea; Forcipulatida; Asteriidae.